AUCAAGUGCCAUACAAUUUUGUCCCAUAUAAAAGGUACUGUGGGAGGAGAGAAGGUGGCCUUCCAUAUAAUCCAGAUUCUCCUCUAACUCGCAAUCGAUGUGGAACUAAAGAUACCGUUCUUCCAUAAUAAGCAUAAUAUUAUCACUAAGGAGGCUAUUGCGUGAGGUAGGAGAGGAUGUCACAAUGGAGGAUAAGAGGUGUGGAUUAGGAAACCAAAUGAUUAGCACCCAUAUUUGUAAUCCGGGAGG
RNAcentral lists this long non-coding RNA (249 nucleotides) under Elaeis guineensis (African oil palm). RNAcentral describes it as "long non-coding RNA (EGUI_LNC022315)". Lineage: Eukaryota; Viridiplantae; Streptophyta; Magnoliopsida; Arecales; Arecaceae. The record is from RNAcentral.